This is a long non-coding RNA of Thalassophryne amazonica, 255 nucleotides long. RefSeq lists it as uncharacterized. Lineage: Eukaryota; Metazoa; Chordata; Actinopteri; Batrachoidiformes; Batrachoididae. The record is from RefSeq and is a predicted model, not a curated record. The transcript is spliced from 3 exons.
GGCAUCCUUACCAGAUGCCUGAACCACCUCAGCUGGCUCCUUUCAACACAAAGGAGCAGCGGCUCUACUCUGAGUUCCCCAUGAAAAACAGAGCUUCUUACCCUAUCACCAAGGGAAACACCAGCCACCCUUCUAAGGAAGCCCAUUUCGGCCGCUUGUACCCGCGAUCUAGUUCUUUCAGUCAUGACCCAACCCUCAUGACCAUAAGUGAGAGUAGGAACGAAGACUGAACAAAACCAUACCAUAUCAUCCCAA